Molecule: long non-coding RNA, 2969 nt
Organism: Triticum aestivum (bread wheat)
Lineage: Eukaryota; Viridiplantae; Streptophyta; Magnoliopsida; Poales; Poaceae
Exons: 4
Source: RefSeq, a predicted model, not a curated record
CCUUCACGAAUCAAUCGGAUUCUUUCGGCUUCCACCGCCCAUCGUAGCCGCCGGGAGAUUGAGGAUUUGCAACGCGUGAGCGGGUUCGCCGCUAUGCGCUGGACGCCGCCUGAGGUACUGCGCUGCAUCCCCUUGGAGGGCCGCGACCUCGCGAUGAUGCGCCCCGCUGCCAGCCAGGAGGGCAAGGCCCCGCCGUCGCGCUCGAUGGGGUCGUUGUGCCACGCGCUGGAUGCUGCGGGGUGGCCAUGGCUGCCAGUGUAGGUCGCUGCCGCGAACCGCGACGCGGCGAUCCGCAUCAGGAGGAUCCGCCCUGCGAUGCUUCUGGACCGCCGGGAGGACCACCAUCAAGGCCGAAUGCCGCCGCGUCCUUGGCGCCGGAUAGCGUCGCCGCCGGAGCCGUGCACCACGGUCUCGUCGUUGGGAUGAGCAUGGCGUCGCCGUUCCUCUUCUCUGGUUCUUCUUUCAUUCCUUUUCGCUUGUUGCGUGGGCUAAUGCUCUUGGUAGAGGCGUGCGUGAUAACGUGUUUAGGCCUUAUACAAUGAUGGAUGCUUCUGCACAGGUGCUUGAGGAAAAAGAUCAACAUCGGACGUGGUCUUGCAAUGGAGAGGUGCUAAGAACAGAUGCUUUAGUUGCUUAGACGGAGGCGUUGGACUCUUUUUUCUCUUCUUCUUCCUGUUGAUGGAGGCUUUGAAGGGAGCAGUUAUUUUUAAGCAUCGGCUGGCAUCGGAAGCAAACAUUUGCUCCUGGCUCCCUUCCUAAGCACCGGUGCAAUUCAAGAUGAGGAAAAAACCGGGUUUUUUUCUCUAGCACCUGGCUAAGCGCAACCCCCCCCCCCCCCCACCCCCUGUACAGGGCCUUAGAAGAGAACUUUCCUCUUUUAGCAAAUUAGGGGAGAGAUGUUAGAGGGAAACUGAGCCCCGCCCGGGCCCCACCCGUUGAAUCAGGGGCCGGUGGUGAGAUUAAGUAGAGGAGGGAGAGAGAGUAAGGAAGGAUCCCGUGGUUUACGCUUUUUCUCAGAUCUAAAACGCAGACUUGGGUGGGUCCUUCUUUCUCUGGCUACGGACAACACGUGAAAACAAAUCGCUCGUUCCAACGCUCGCGCGCGAAGGAGCGUUUCCGAUUUCUCAUUGAUUGAAGACCGGGUAUUUAUACCCACUUUACAAGGCAGUUAGGAUUACAAUGUUGGUAACUACAACAGACUUAAGCAUUGAUUAUUAGGAUUAAAUUAAUCUUUAACAGUAUCCUCGGCCGAAAUAAUCAAAGGGCAAACAAGUUUCUUUUUUAGAGCGAAGGCUCAAGGGGAGACCGGCUUUGAAUUAACGAAGCUAUCAACCGGACAGGAUUACACAAGGCCAUCAAGCAGAGCGACCGAAAGAUACAAUGAAGCUGUGUGAACAGCAAACAAUGCAACCGACACUACAGCAGAAAGAAAAAUACAUGAAGAGCCCUGUUAGUAAUGUCGAAGCCUACUGCACAUAAUCAGCAGAGAGAGGAGCAACAGAAAAGCCUCAGUGAUCAGCCGAUAGCCUGAGAAAAUUGUGAACCGUCUGAACCCACGGACAAGGGAAGAGCAUUGCUCCCCACGCCGAAGAGGAACCCUUUCCUCUCGCCUACGCUUGAAGGCGCCGCACCGGAUCGUUGGCGCUCAUCCGAGAACUAGAGCAGACGCCAGCCGGAUCCCAUCGCAGACAAGUUGCGCUAUCCUCUCCUGCCGCCGCCGCCGCCGCCUCAGCCUCGUCCGCCUCCUCUCCUGCAGCCGCCGCCACCUCGGCCUCGGCCGCCUCGUGCUCUGCCGGCGCCCGUCCGCCUCGAUCCGCCCGCUCCUUCGUCGGGUGGCGACGGACGGACGGUGAGGAGGGGGCGACCGGGUCGGCGAGAAGCUGCGAUUUAGCGUUGUCACCGCCUCUCAGCACGCAGCCUCUCCUUUCCUAUCUCCUCUGCGGCUCGCCCUCUUCCUCCGGCCGCAUCCAACCCCAUAGUCAUCUCCUACUUCCCUCUCUUAUUCCCCUCUGCGUACACGAGAUGGGCCAAGCCGGCACACAAGGCAAAGGGCGGCGGUGGCUCCGACGCGGGCGCCGUGGAGGUGGAGGCGGAGCUGUGGCGGCUGGUGGUGGACGGCCGCGUCAGCGACGUCAGCCUCGACGAGUUCCAUCACCUUCACUGCUACUUCAGGAGGCUGGUCUGGAUUAGGUCCGUUUCUUGGAGUAUGACAAGCUGAUGGUGAUCCUCACGCUGACAAAAUAAUAAAACAUUCAGUGCUGGAGCUUCCAAAGGGAUCUUCAUCCAGUGAUGAAGAUGGAUCCUGCAUAGAAAAUGAUUCCUCAAAGCAUCUGAAGCUGAGCUACAGAAUUUUGACUUGUGACAUCGAGGAAGGAGAUUAUUAUGUGUAUGACAAAGAUGAAGGCUGCUAUGGGAAUGGCGAUGAAGGGUCUGAUUAUGAAUUUGAUGAAAGUGACUUUAAUCAGCAAAUUGACUUGAAUCAGCAGCUGGAUUAUAAAUUCGACAAUUUGGAUUACAGAUACUCUGACAGCAAGGUUAUUCCACAUGUAUGGUCUAAUCAAAUAUUUGUGGUAAGGAUGAACAUCAGUAUGAGGAGAAAACAUCUGAACUAAAAUUACAAGCUUCAAAGGCUUUUUAAGAGAAAUGAAUAUAUCACAGCAGGAUGUAUGUAUUCAGAUCAGGAGGAGCUCGCCCUUGAGACAGGAGGAGGGGAGCAGCAGCCGCGCCCCGUGCUCCGCUGGUGCCCGUCGGCCUCGAUCCGUCCUUGGCAGGAGGAGCUCGAGCCGAGGAGUGCAACCUUGAUCCGGACUCGGUAGGAGGAGGGAAGCAGUAGCCGGAGCGCCUCGUAGCUGUUAGAUGUGUAGUCUCUUUUUGGUAUAUCCCCAUUGUAUAAGGGGUUUCCUGCACUUUGACACAUGUAUAUGUAAUGGCCUUUGGCCCUCAGUAAAGUUCAGUUGUUGAUUAUACAA